UUAAGCGACUAAGCGUACACGGUGGAUGCCCUGGCAGUCAGAGGCGAUGAAGGACGUGCUAAUCUGCGAAAAGCGUCGGUAAGGUGAUAUGAACCGUUAUAACCGGCGAUGUCCGAAUGGGGAAACCCAGUGUGAUUCGUCACACUAUCGUUAACUGAAUACAUAGGUUAACGAGGCGAACCGGGGGAACUGAAACAUCUAAGUACCCCGAGGAAAAGAAAUCAACCGAGAUUCCCCCAGUAGCGGCGAGCGAACGGGGAGCAGCCCAGAGUCUGAAUCAGCUUGUGUGUUAGUGGAACGGUCUGGAAAGUCCGACGGUACAGGGUGAUAGUCCCGUACACCAAAAUGCACAGGUUGUGAACUCGAAGAGUAGGGCGGGACACGUGGUAUCCUGUCUGAAUAUGGGGGGACCAUCCUCCAAGGCUAAAUACUCCUGACUGACCGAUAGUGAACCAGUACCGUGAGGGAAAGGCGAAAAGAACCCCGGCGAGGGGAGUGAAAAAGAACCUGAAACCGUGUACGUACAAGCAGUGGGAGCACCUUCGGGUGUGACUGCGUACCUUUUGUAUAAUGGGUCAGCGACUUAUAUUCUGUAGCAAGGUUAACCGUAUAGGGGAGCCGCAGGGAAACCGAGUCUUAACUGGGCGUUAAGUUGCAGGGUAUAGACCCGAAACCCGGUGAUCUAGCCAUGGGCAGGUUGAAGGUUGGGUAACACUAACUGGAGGACCGAACCGACUAAUGUUGAAAAAUUAGCGGAUGACUUGUGGCUGGGGGUGAAAGGCCAAUCAAACCGGGAGAUAGCUGGUUCUCCCCGAAAGCUAUUUAGGUAGCGCCUCGUGAAUUCAUCUUCGGGGGUAGAGCACUGUUUCGGCUAGGGGGUCAUCCCGACUUACCAACCCGAUGCAAACUACGAAUACCGAAGAAUGUUAUCACGGGAGACACACGGCGGGUGCUAACGUCCGUCGUGAAGAGGGAAACAACCCAGACCGCCAGCUAAGGUCCCAAAGUCAUGGUUAAGUGGGAAACGAUGUGGGAAGGCACAGACAGCCAGGAUGUUGGCUUAGAAGCAGCCAUCAUUUAAAGAAAGCGUAAUAGCUCACUGGUCGAGUCGGCCUGCGCGGAAGAUGUAACGGGGCUAAACCAUGCACCGAAGCUGCGGCAGCGACACUAUGUGUUGUUGGGUAGGGGAGCGUUCUGUAAGCCUGCGAAGGUGUGCUGUGAGGCAUGCUGGAGGUAUCAGAAGUGCGAAUGCUGACAUAAGUAACGAUAAAGCGGGUGAAAAGCCCGCUCGCCGGAAGACCAAGGGUUCCUGUCCAACGUUAAUCGGGGCAGGGUGAGUCGACCCCUAAGGCGAGGCCGAAAGGCGUAGUCGAUGGGAAACAGGUUAAUAUUCCUGUACUUGGUGUUACUGCGAAGGGGGGACGGAGAAGGCUAUGUUAGCCGGGCGACGGUUGUCCCGGUUUAAGCAUGUAGGCUGGUUAUCCAGGCAAAUCCGGAUAAUCAAGGCUGAGGUGUGAUGACGAGGCACUACGGUGCUGAAGUAACAAAUGCCCUGCUUCCAGGAAAAGCCUCUAAGCAUCAGGUAACAUUAAAUCGUACCCCAAACCGACACAGGUGGUCAGGUAGAGAAUACCAAGGCGCUUGAGAGAACUCGGGUGAAGGAACUAGGCAAAAUGGUGCCGUAACUUCGGGAGAAGGCACGCUGGUGUGUAGGUGAAGUCCCUGCGGAUGGAGCUGAGACCAGUCGAAGAUACCAGCUGGCUGCAACUGUUUAUUAAAAACACAGCACUGUGCAAACACGAAAGUGGACGUAUACGGUGUGACGCCUGCCCGGUGCCGGAAGGUUAAUUGAUGGGGUUAUCCGUAAGGAGAAGCUCUUGAUCGAAGCCCCGGUAAACGGCGGCCGUAACUAUAACGGUCCUAAGGUAGCGAAAUUCCUUGUCGGGUAAGUUCCGACCUGCACGAAUGGCGUAAUGAUGGCCAGGCUGUCUCCACCCGAGACUCAGUGAAAUUGAACUCGCUGUGAAGAUGCAGUGUACCCGCGGCAAGACGGAAAGACCCCGUGAACCUUUACUAUAGCUUGACACUGAACAUUGAGCCUUGAUGUGUAGGAUAGGUGGGAGGCUUUGAAGCGUGGACGCCAGUCUGCGUGGAGCCAACCUUGAAAUACCACCCUUUAAUGUUUGAUGUUCUAACGUUGGCCCCUGACCGGGGUUGCGGACAGUGUCUGGUGGGUAGUUUGACUGGGGCGGUCUCCUCCCAAAGCGUAACGGAGGAGCACGAAGGUUAGCUAAUCCUGGUCGGACAUCAGGAGGUUAGUGCAAUGGCAUAAGCUAGCUUGACUGCGAGCGUGACGGCGCGAGCAGGUGCGAAAGCAGGUCAUAGUGAUCCGGUGGUUCUGAAUGGAAGGGCCAUCGCUCAACGGAUAAAAGGUACUCCGGGGAUAACAGGCUGAUACCGCCCAAGAGUUCAUAUCGACGGCGGUGUUUGGCACCUCGAUGUCGGCUCAUCACAUCCUGGGGCUGAAGUAGGUCCCAAGGGUAUGGCUGUUCGCCAUUUAAAGUGGUACGCGAGCUGGGUUUAGAACGUCGUGAGACAGUUCGGUCCCUAUCUGCCGUGGGCGCUGGAGAAUUGAGGGGGGCUGCUCCUAGUACGAGAGGACCGGAGUGGACGCAUCACUGGUGUUCGGGUUGUCAUGCCAAUGGCACUGCCCGGUAGCUAAAUGCGGAAGAGAUAAGUGCUGAAAGCAUCUAAGCACGAAACUUGCCCCGAGAUGAGUUCUCCCUGAGACUUUAAGUCUCCUGAAGGAACGUUGAAGACGACGACGUUGAUAGGCCGGGUGUGUAAGCGCAGCGAUGCGUUGAGCUAACCGGUACUAAUGAACCGUGAGGCUUAACCU
RNAcentral lists this ribosomal RNA (2899 nucleotides) under Klebsiella pneumoniae. Its description in RNAcentral is "23S ribosomal RNA". It matches the Rfam family "Bacterial large subunit ribosomal RNA". The record is from RNAcentral. Lineage: Bacteria; Pseudomonadati; Pseudomonadota; Gammaproteobacteria; Enterobacterales; Enterobacteriaceae.